RNAcentral lists this ribosomal RNA (500 nucleotides) under uncultured dinoflagellate. RNAcentral describes it as "SSU rRNA". It matches the Rfam family "Eukaryotic small subunit ribosomal RNA", at positions 34 to 539 of the family's 1831-position model. Lineage: Eukaryota; Dinophyceae. The record is from RNAcentral.
ACUGUUCAGAUAGCCAUGCAUGUCUCAGUAUAAGCUUCUAUACGGCGAAACUGCGAAUGGCUCAUUUAAAAGUUAUAGUUUAUUUGGUGGUCAGCAAUUACAUGGAUAACCGUGGUAAUUCUAGAGCUAAUACAUGCGCCCAAACCCGACUUCGUGGAAGGGUUGUGUUUACUAGAUACAGAACCAACCCAGGCUCCGCCUGGCCUUGAGGUGAUUCAUAAUAACCGAACGAAUCGCAUGGCUAUGCCGGCGAUAGACCAUUCAAGUUUCUGACCUAUCAGCUAUCGUCGGUAGGGUAUUGGCCUACCGUGGCAAUGACGGGUAACGGAGAAUUAGGGUUCGAUUCCGGAGAGGGAGCCUGAGAAACGGCUACCACAUCUAAGGAAGGCAGCAGGCGCGCAAAUUACCCAAUCCUGACGCAGGGAGGUAGUGACAAGAAAUAACAAUACAGGGCAUACAUGUCUUGUAAUUGGAAUGAGUAAACUUUAAAUCACUUUACG